GGUUCUUUUGUCUAGAGUGAAAUUAAUGUAGUUUGAUUUAGUGUAAUUUAUUCUUAAAUUAUGUUUAAGAAACCAUGCAUUUAUCAAGUGGAGGUCCGUUUCUGCUUUUAGACGAACUUCGUCCCACUUGUCCCCAGAUAUAAGGAUGGCUGUAUCGUCUGCAUAAGAAAAUAGUUUACCGUGAAUAUUUAAAUGAUUUAGCGAAGAGACAUAAAAAGAAUAAAGAAAUAUAAAGAAUAGGUGAUAAUACUGUCCCUUGAGGAACUCCCGUUGUGAUUGUAAUUUCGUCACUAAGUGUGUUAUUAAUUCUUACUUGUUGUUUUCUGUUGUCUAAGUAAGAUUCUAAUAAUUUUAGUGGUUUAUUAACUAUACCUAUUGAUUGAAGUAUGAGUAUCAACGAUUUAUGAAAAAUGCUGUCAAAAGCUUUACUGAGGUCCAGGAAAAUUCCUAAUGUUUUUUUAUUAUUGUUUAAGUUAUUGUAUAUAUCCAUGGUAAGCCGUGCUAAUGCACCUUCUGUUCCUAGGUUUUUCCUAAAUCCGUAUUGUGAUUUAGGUAAGAUAUUAUUUUCUUCUAAGUAAUCUAAAAGCCUUGUUUUUAUGGCCCGCUCAAAAAUUUUUGAAAAAAUAUUUAGUAAGCUAAUUGGUCUGUAAUUAUUUAUUAAUUUUUAUUACCGUUUUUAUGAAUUGGAGUUACUGUGGCACUUUUAAAAGAAUCUGGUAUGAUACCUUCCAAUAGUAUUUUAUUGAAAAUAUGAGCUAAGAUAUCUGAUAUUGAUUCUUUAAUAUGUUUAACUACGUUAAUUGUUAUUCCAUCUUUGCCGGGGGCCGAGUCGCCUUUCAUAUUUGAGAUAAUAUUAUUUACUUCCAAUGCCGUUAUUUUUCUUAAAUACAAGGAUUGAUUCGAGUUAAGUUUGUCUGUUGAUGAAUUUGAUUGGAAAAAAUGUUUUUUUGUAGUAUUAUUUUGGCUACCCAUUGUACUAUACUAUUACAACAGUAUAUCAUUUUUGAUAUUUUACAUUAAAAACAAUGUAUUCACAAUGUUUCGGGCGAAUGGUGGCGCUACCUGCACUUGAUAUUUGUACUAACAAACUACCGAGAAAUGUUGCGACCGGAAUAAUAUUAUGUACAAGACGUGGUGUCCCCUUAUCUUCUCUACAUCGUGCUAGAAUCACGGUUUAAGAUAUCUUAAACCGUGGCUGGAAUACCUAUAUAAUAUAAGUAGAGUUGUCAAGAUGAUGAUACCUACGGAACGCGAGUCCGACUGGCCGGUUUUUUACCCUGUUUUUUAUUUUUCUACCGAUGAGUUACUGGUAUAUUAUUUUACCACUUUAUGCAACGGGAAAUAUAAUUUCAUACGAGUGGUAAGCUUGUACGCAAAAGUUGUUAUUGUUAUCUUGUUAUCGGUAAUCGCGUAAACAUAUCAAAGUAGUAAAUUAUUAUACCACAGCGCACUUAUUUUUAUUAUUACUCUAAUUUUACCAUACGCAAAAAAUGUUUUUUUUUCAAAAUUAAUAAAAUAUACAUGUAUGUGAGUCUAGAAACAAAAUUUGGCACACAAAGCAAAAGCGCCUUAUGCCCUAUAAAGGGUUUAAAAGACAUAAAAAUAUAUUUAUUAUAAUACAUAAUAUAUAUACUCAUUGAACAAGCUGCGAUGAAGGAAGUCCAAAUAUUUAUGCCCGAGUCAGAAAACGAAGAAACAGUAAGACGUGGCAGAAUAUUAUAACUAUCCAAACCCCAAUAUGAUGCAUUAGGUAGUGAUUCUUGUAAAGAAAUGGAUCUUAUAGUGUGUAUAUCAACACUACAAAUGAGAAAAAGAAAAUUUCAGAAGUAUACAGAAGUACCUACCUAGCAAUAUAAUAGUUUAACCGCAGAAUCAACAUCACAUUUUGUCGACAAUUGUGACCAAGAUACAAGAUCUGAUGCAUUACAAUCAAUCAGGCGUAAUUUAAAUUCAAAUUUAUCAAAUUAUCAAGAAUCUAGUAAUCAUAGUAAUGGUGUACUCACUUAAACAGAAUUUUGAAUUCAACAAAUAUGUUCUUGAAUAGAUUGAAUAAAAUGUUAGAUGUGCUUUUAGAACAUAUAAAACAUUCUCUCAGCGCACAAUACAAUAUGUUCCAUUAGAUGAUUCUGUUUUAAAUAUAUUUUUAUUAAAAAAUAUUGCAGUCAUAAGAGAUAUUGAGAAAAACUUACAAAACGAUGAAUAUAAACUCAAAAUAACUCAUAUUAUACAUUCAGUUUGUGGAAUAAGUUGAAAAAACUUUAUCAAAAGAGUACUUUCAAGAUUAUUUAUAAAUAAAAUGUCUUCUGUAUGUUCUUGGACAGGGUUCAGGAAUAAUUUUUGUUUAGAUAAAUCUUCAAAUUAUAAACAUAGCAAAACAAAUUGCUGAUGAUAAUUAUAAAAUGGAUGACAGCAGUUUUGAGUGUCACAUUAAAGAUUGAUUCAGUCAUGGAAGCCAACGUUUGGCAUGCGAAGAAAGCAGAAAAUAGUGAAAUAUGAUUUCACUGACAUAUGUUGUAAAGUAAGAUUAGGUUACAUCUUACAUACCUGUCUGAACAAGAUUGGUCCGUAUUGGAUAUGUGUGGCUGCAAUAUCUGUACCAUUUAAAAAAUGCCAUUUUAAAUGUUUGUUCCAGGCUAUGGUUUGUAUUUUACCAAGACAAAGUCAAUUUAGAUGCUAUUAGUUUUCUAAGUGUUACGUUUGGUCCUCUUUGCUUACAGUUUUAAUGGCCUAUAGAGAUUAAAGUUAAACUUUGAUAGUUUUCCAAUA
Molecule: long non-coding RNA, 2766 nt
Filed under: Acyrthosiphon pisum (pea aphid)
Lineage: Eukaryota; Metazoa; Arthropoda; Insecta; Hemiptera; Aphididae
Description: uncharacterized LOC115033263
Source: RNAcentral